This is a small nuclear RNA of Calocera viscosa, 190 nucleotides long. It matches the Rfam family "U2 spliceosomal RNA". From Rfam's summary of the family: U2 is a small nuclear RNA (snRNA) component of the spliceosome (involved in pre-mRNA splicing). Complementary binding between U2 snRNA (in an area lying towards the 5' end but 3' to hairpin I) and the branchpoint sequence (BPS) of the intron results the bulging out of an unpaired adenosine, on the BPS, which initiates a nucleophilic attack at the intronic 5' splice site, thus starting the first of two transesterification reactions that mediate splicing. NCBI's taxonomy places the organism in Eukaryota, Fungi, Basidiomycota, Dacrymycetes, Dacrymycetales, Dacrymycetaceae. The record is from Rfam.
UUACCACUCUGGCCUUUUGGCUUAGAUCAAGUGUAGUAUCUGUUCUUAUUAGUUUAACCACUAAUAUAAUCGCACUGCGAUUAUUAUGGUUAUCUAAUUUUUGCCGCCCCGUCGUUCGCCCUCUGGCAUGCCAUGGCGUUCGGCAAGAUGACCUUCCUACUGCACUCACCGGGUUGCGUCGUCAGGGGAU